RNAcentral lists this small nuclear RNA (312 nucleotides) under Jaculus jaculus (lesser Egyptian jerboa). RNAcentral describes it as "7SK RNA (ENSJJAG00000006693.1)". It matches the Rfam family "7SK RNA". Rfam says of the family: 7SK was discovered as an abundant small nuclear RNA in the mid-70s but a possible function has only recently been suggested. Two independent studies have found that 7SK RNA binds the CDK9/cyclin T complex (known as elongation factor P-TEFb). Lineage: Eukaryota; Metazoa; Chordata; Mammalia; Rodentia; Dipodidae. The record is from RNAcentral.
GGAUGUGAGGGUGAUCUGGCUGCUACAUCUGUCACCCCAUUGAUCGCCAGGGUUGAUUUGGCUGAUCUGCUAGGCUAGGCAGGUGUCCUCUUCCUCCCUCCUUGCUCCAUGUGUGUCCCUCCUGAAGCUGCGCACUCUUUCGAAGAGGAUGACCUUCUCUAAAUAGUGGAGGCCCAGUCUUCAGUCAAGGGUAUACGAGCAGCUGCACUCCCCUGCUAGAACCUCCAAACAAACUCUCAAGAAGUCUGUAAUCUGAUCAAGUACUUUAAGACUUAGUAAAUCAACUUUGUCACUAACCUUCUGUUUAAGCUG